Molecule: ribosomal RNA, 465 nt
Filed under: Vreelandella stevensii
Lineage: Bacteria; Pseudomonadati; Pseudomonadota; Gammaproteobacteria; Oceanospirillales; Halomonadaceae
Description: partial 16S ribosomal RNA
Rfam family: Bacterial small subunit ribosomal RNA
Source: RNAcentral
CCUACGGGAGGCAGCAGUGGGGAAUAUUGGACAAUAGGGGCAACCCUGAUCCAGCCAUGCCGCGUGUGUGAAGAAGGCCCUCGGGUUGUAAAGCACUUUCAGUGAGGAAGAACGCCUGGUGGUUAAUACCCAUCAGGAAAGACAUCACUCACAGAAGAAGCACCGGCUAACUCCGUGCCAGCAGCCGCGGUAAUACGGAGGGUGCGAGCGUUAAUCGGAAUUACUGGGCGUAAAGCGCGCGUAGGUGGCUUGAUAAGCCGGUUGUGAAAGCCCCGGGCUCAACCUGGGAACGGCAUCCGGAACUGUCAAGCUAGAGUGCAGGAGAGGAAGGUAGAAUUCCCGGUGUAGCGGUGAAAUGCGUAGAGAUCGGGAGGAAUACCAGUGGCGAAGGCGGCCUUCUGGACUGACACUGACACUGAGGUGCGAAAGCGUGGGUAGCAAACAGGAUUAGAUACCCCUGUAGUC